AUGGGAAAAUGCUGGGAGGCAGAUCCUUUAACCUUCUUUCAGAGGAGAUUAAGUAAUGAGCUCAAGGAGCAAUGGCAGCUGGUGGUCGCCGCUGCUAGAGGUAGUUGUGUAUCUGAUGAAUUAGAUUAUAUUAAGUGGGGCCUGGGUCCCAAAAAAGUCUUUACAACCAAAUCGGAUUAUUCUUUCUUGGAAAGAAACAUCACAGGGUGCAAUUUUGUGUGGGUUUGGAAAGCUGGCAUUCCUUUAAAGAUUAAAUUUUUUAUGUGGCAGCUUUUCCAGGAUGCUAUCCUUACUCGGGAGGUGAUGAAAAAAAGAGGGUGGAAAGGAAGCCCGAAGUGUUCAUUCUGUGGAGAGAAUGAGACAUCUCAGCAUCUCUUCUUUACCUGUCCUAUAGCUAGGGUGACUUGGAGAUGUGUUGCCUAUAUGCUCAGCACUGAUCUGUGCCCAAACAGUUUAUCGCAUGCUUACUCCUGGUGUUAUGCUUACUUCCCAAGUGGGGAGACUUUCUACACAGUUGGCAUAGCUGCUCUGUGCUGGGCUAUUUGGACAUGUCACAAUGGUUCUACGUUCGAAUCUAAACGUUUGCAAACACCUUUUGAAUGCUGCUUCUCUAUGUGUGCUUUUCUUGAUUACUGGGCAGGACUGUUGAAGCAAGAGGAUGCGGUGGACCUGCGAGCAGGUGUGGACAUGCUGAAGAAUAGUGCAUCGAGGCUGAUGCGCAUCUGCGCUGCAAAUGAAGACUGA
This 744-nucleotide ribosomal RNA is filed under the name Triticum aestivum (bread wheat). RNAcentral describes it as "partial small subunit ribosomal RNA". Lineage: Eukaryota; Viridiplantae; Streptophyta; Magnoliopsida; Poales; Poaceae. The record is from RNAcentral.